CAAGACAACUUUACGGAGUUGACGAUUGACGGAGCGAAGCGACGUCAAAGCGUUCAUUAAAGUCGAGUUGGCUUAGGGAUACGUUCGUUGGGUAGGGGAGCGUUCUGUAAGCCUGUGAAGGUGUGUCGUGAGGCAUGCUGGAGGUAUCAGAAGUGCGAAUGCUGACAUAAGUAACGAUAAAGCGGGUGAAAAGCCCGCUCGCCGGAAGACCAAGGGUUCCUGUCCAACGUUAAUCGGGGCAGGGUGAGUCGACCCCUAAGGCGAGGCCGAAAGGCGUAGUCGAUGGGAAACGGGUUAAUAUUCCCGUACUUGGUGUUACUGCGAAGGGGGGACGGAGAAGGCUAUGUUGGCCGGGCGACGGUUGUCCCGGUUUAAGCGUGUAGGUGUGUGUUCCAGGUAAAUCCGGUUCACUUUAACACUGAGGCGUGACGACGAGGCACUACGGUGCUGAAGCAACAAAUGCCCUGCUUCCAGGAAAAGCCUCUAAGCAUCAGGUAA
This 498-nucleotide ribosomal RNA is filed under the name Salmonella enterica subsp. enterica. RNAcentral's name for it is "partial 23S ribosomal RNA". It matches the Rfam family "Bacterial large subunit ribosomal RNA", at positions 1163 to 1634 of the family's 2925-position model. The record is from RNAcentral. Lineage: Bacteria; Pseudomonadati; Pseudomonadota; Gammaproteobacteria; Enterobacterales; Enterobacteriaceae.